GGAGGAAUACCCAAGUCUGGCUGAAGGGAUCGGUCUUGAAAACCGACAGGGGUGUCAAAACCCGCGGGGGUUCGAAUCCCUCUUCCUCCGCCA
Molecule: transfer RNA, 93 nt
Filed under: Bacillus amyloliquefaciens
Lineage: Bacteria; Bacillati; Bacillota; Bacilli; Caryophanales; Bacillaceae
Also listed under: 1 other name
Description: tRNA-Ser
Rfam family: tRNA
About the family: Transfer RNA (tRNA) molecules are approximately 80 nucleotides in length. Their secondary structure includes four short double-helical elements and three loops (D, anti-codon, and T loops).
Source: RNAcentral